UAGGCCCUAUUUGGUAUUGUUUUCAUCAUUUAAAAAAUUCAAUAAAUAGAUUUAAAGUGUUUCAUAAAAAUAGGUGCUUACCAUUUUUUUCCCAAACGUUUGGACAAUCAAUUUAUUAUUAUUAUUAUUAUAGCAAAGUUAUUUUUGCGUUGUUAGUUGUUUGUAAAAUUGUUCAAAUCAAUUUGUUGGAAAUUGUUAAAUUCACAGUUCUUUUUUAUGAAUUCACAGCCCUGUCUCUGACACAACCCUCUCUCUCAUAUAACAGGCUCCACCAUGUGAGAGAGGGGUGCUAUGGAUCCGAUCUGCCAAAAAAGAGUGAAUUUAUCAAUCUCCCAAUUUAUUGUAUCUUGGCGUUUAGAUAGUUGUUUGAAAAUACUUAGCUAUUUUUUUCCUUUUCGUUCCACCUUUCCUCUCUCAUUUAGUGUUUUACUGGCAGGCAUUCUGAUAUCAGCUUGGUUGAGUUGGCAAAUGAAACAGUUAAAGAAGAUGACAGAGUUGUUUUAUUGGAGUGGGGAGGUCUCCAGUCGGCUUCUCCUAAAGCUCAAAGUUCACCUGUCACAUCUCACGUUGUCAGAUUUCUUCUAAUGGAUGAGACUUUCUUGCUGGAAAAUCGAUUGACACUCAGAGCCAUAGUUAUAAUCGGGAUCUUUUCUUAUUUCUCUACUUCCUUCUCAUCAUAGUUUCAGCAAUUACUUCUUUCAAGAUUCAUCAUGAUAAGUCACCAAUCUCAGGAAAAUCCAUACUGUAUCUGAACAGGCAUCAAACUGAAGAGUGGAAAGGUUGGAUGCAGUCAAGUGAUCUAUCAAAUGUAAAGAGGUUGUUAACAAGGGCACAAGAGAAUCCAAGCCAACAUUUCUCGUUCGAAAUGACGUGGGGAAAGUGUUGCUAAAUGCAUUGUUAUAUCCAGGCAUCAAGACGAACAUGUAGAAAAAUUCCAUUGUUGCGAUAUUUCAUACGGCGGGUGAUGUGGGAAACAACAACAUUGACAGUGACAGUGUUGUGGCACGUACCUUCUUAAUAAGAACAAAAACUGAGGAGGAUCGAAAGAAGCUUGCAGAAGCAAUUCAGGAAUAUGCCCCUCCUGCUUGAAAAUACACAUGAAAGUGAUUUUCCAUCACAUUGUACAACCCUUGAGCUUCAACAAAAUUGCAAAUGAAAAAGUUUUGUGUAGGGUGGGCUUGUUGAAGCCGAUGAAUCCUCCUUUUCUUUCGGAGGGAGGGCGAGCUCCAAAAAUCUACCAAGCGGAGCCAAUAUUCAAAAGUUGACAAUAUUUUCAUAUGUACAAGAGGCUAAUGCACCUGUAUCAUGUAGAGAAGAAAGGAUGUUCUCCUCCAAAAUGCACAAAGCUCAUCUGAGAUGCAUGAAUCAGAUUCGCCUGCUGCAGCUGCUGGUCUGCUGCUGCCGCCCUUGUGGUUGAUGCUUGUUGGGCUGCUGUAAUGUUG
Camellia sinensis is the source of this 1442-nucleotide non-coding RNA. Lineage: Eukaryota; Viridiplantae; Streptophyta; Magnoliopsida; Ericales; Theaceae. The record is from RefSeq and is a predicted model, not a curated record.